UACGUAGGGGGCGAGCGUUGUCCGGAUUUACUGGGCGUAAAGCGCGCGUAGGCGGAGCGUUAAGUCCGGUCUGAAAGCCCCCGGCUCAACCGGGGAAGGUGGCUGGAAACUGGCGCACUGGAGGGCGGCAGAGGCGUGUGGAAUUCCUGGUGUAGCGGUGAAAUGCGUAGAGAUCAGGAGGAACACCAGCGGCGAAGGCGGCUUUCUGGUCCGAUACUGACGCUGAGACGCGAAAGCGUGGGGAGCGAUCCGG
RNAcentral lists this ribosomal RNA (253 nucleotides) under uncultured bacterium. RNAcentral's name for it is "partial 16S ribosomal RNA". It matches the Rfam family "Bacterial small subunit ribosomal RNA", at positions 524 to 776 of the family's 1533-position model. The record is from RNAcentral.